RNAcentral lists this long non-coding RNA (676 nucleotides) under Equus asinus (donkey). RNAcentral's name for it is "lncRNA (ENSEASG00005036017.1)". Lineage: Eukaryota; Metazoa; Chordata; Mammalia; Perissodactyla; Equidae. The record is from RNAcentral.
CCCAAUUUGGUGGGAAACCUAGACUUUCCAUUUCACGCGUGUCUCCAAGCAAAAGAAGUGACUGGUAGCUCUGGGGAGCACCCCCGCCUCCCCCUGCCUGCUCUGGGCCGUGAUGACAUGUUCGUGCUGUGCACUUAUUCUUUCAACAGGUCAUUAUUAAAUGCCCAGUAAAUGCCGGUUGCCAAGGAGACAGCAGUAAACAAGCAGGGGAACAGCCUCGGACGUUGUGUUGGGAGCUCGGGGAUGCUGAGUGGAUCUUAAAGGUUCUCAUCACAACAAAAAAAAACCCGUGGAAUUAUUCAAAUAAGCCAGUCACAGGAAGCGAGGCUCACCCCAAAAGCCUGCCUCCCAUAGCCCCUCCUGGUUCACUCUGUUUCUGAGCACACCCUCCCUCUGGCCCUGGGUGUCCUCCGCCCAGGCUAUGACAAAAUGAGGCAUCAAGAGACAGCUUCCCCAGGGGGUGGAGCUGGGAUUUGAACUCAAGAAACUUGUCUCCAGAGCCCAAGCUCUCAACCAGGACGCUGGGCCUCCUCAAACAGAAGCAAGAAACGUGCAGGCUGGAGAGCCACAACGCAGCUGACUUAUGGAGCCGCUGCAUCUUCAGAUGCCAUUUCCCCAGCGGGGAGCCCUAAAUCUUUAUUACAAAAAGACCUUGGAAUGGGUCAAAUCUCAGUUG